UGGUCAAACGUGCUUUGCAUCACUCAGUCAAAUUGGGAAAUUUCGCUUCCAUUCAUUUGAGUGUUUUCCAUAUGGGGAUCGCUCCAAAGCGCCCUUUAAUCGAUUCCAAGUCCCCGCUUGGAGUAUAAUCCGAGCACAUGGAAGGAUGACUGCGAAUCGAGUCCAGACUGAAAUUGUUUGUUGUUGACGCUCGAGCUUAGAGCUCAUUACAAUUUUCAAGUACAUUUGCGCUGAUAGUUACACAGAACCAAACCAAACCAAACCGAACCAACUUCGAUGUGCGCCAUGCAGACAGACCAGCCCUUGAAACAUAUACUAUGCAAAUAUAGCACAGAUACGGAAAACUGCACUCCACUGAAGGAGGAAAUCCGUGAGGGGAAAUGUGGGUAAAAUUCAGACCCUCCAGCGGGGCAAACUGUUGGCCAGGCACAAAUGUCUGCUGACCAUUAAAUUCACUUCACUUCAUUUAAAUCUGAAGCAUUGCUGGGCGAGACUUCUGCGGACAUCCCAGGGCCAUGCCUGUUCGUAAAAGUUUUUCAAUAACACAAGAAAAUUCAUCGAGGAGGUGGCUGGCUGACAACUGCAAAUAAUAGCUUGGCCCUCUAAGGACAUUGAAACAUUUACACCGUGUUGCCCUCCUUUCAGAUUGAGAACAUAAGCUCUGAAAUCAGGGCCUUAUAUAGUGUGGGC
Molecule: non-coding RNA, 690 nt
Organism: Drosophila melanogaster (fruit fly)
Lineage: Eukaryota; Metazoa; Arthropoda; Insecta; Diptera; Drosophilidae
Source: Ensembl